GCUAAUACCGUAUGCGUCCUUUGGGACAAAGAUUUAUCGCCAUGGGAUGGGCCCGCGUAGGAUUAGCUUGUUGGUGGGGUAACGGCCUACCAAGGCAACGAUCCUUAGCUGGUCUGAGAGGAUGAUCAGCCACACUGGGACUGAGACACGGCCCAGACUCCUACGGGAGGCAGCAGUGGGGAAUAUUGGACAAUGGGCGGAAGCCUGAUCCAGCAACGCCGCGUGAGGGAUGACGGCCUUCGGGUUGUAAACCUCUUUCAGUACCGACGAAGCGAGAGUGACGGUAGGUACAGAAGAAGCACCGGCCAACUACGUGCCAGCAGCCGCGGUAAUACGUAGGGUGCGAGCGUUGUCCGGAAUUAUUGGGCGUAAAGGGCUCGUAGGCGGUUUGUUGCGUCGGGAGUGAAAACAUCGGGCUUAACUCGAUGCUUGCUUUCGAUACGGGCAGACUUGAGGUAUGCAGGGGAGAAUGGAAUUCCUGGUGUAGCGGUGA
Molecule: ribosomal RNA, 493 nt
Filed under: Anophryoides haemophila
Lineage: Eukaryota; Ciliophora; Oligohymenophorea; Philasterida; Glauconematidae
Description: partial Bacterial small subunit ribosomal RNA
Rfam family: Bacterial small subunit ribosomal RNA
Source: RNAcentral